This 92-nucleotide transfer RNA is filed under the name Leucothrix sp. RNAcentral's name for it is "tRNA-Ser". It matches the Rfam family "tRNA". Rfam says of the family: Transfer RNA (tRNA) molecules are approximately 80 nucleotides in length. Their secondary structure includes four short double-helical elements and three loops (D, anti-codon, and T loops). The record is from RNAcentral. Lineage: Bacteria; Pseudomonadati; Pseudomonadota; Gammaproteobacteria; Thiotrichales; Thiotrichaceae.
GGAGAAGUGGCCGAGUGGCCGAAGGCGCUCCCCUGCUAAGGGAGUACAUGGUUUAUCCCGUGUCGAGGGUUCGAAUCCCUCCUUCUCCGCCA